RNAcentral lists this ribosomal RNA (630 nucleotides) under uncultured soil bacterium. RNAcentral describes it as "bacterial SSU rRNA". It matches the Rfam family "Bacterial small subunit ribosomal RNA", at positions 35 to 705 of the family's 1533-position model. The record is from RNAcentral.
GCUGGCGGCAGGCUUAACACAUGCAAGUCGAGUCGGGCGUAGCAAUACGUCAGCGGCAGACGGGUGAGCUAACGCGUGGGAACAUACCUUUUGGUUCGGAACAACCCAGGGAAACUUGGGCUAACUAACGGAUAAGCCCUUACGGGGAAAGAUUUAUCGCCGAAAGAUUGGCCCGCGUCUGAUUAGCUAGUUGGUGAGGUAACGGCUCACCAAGGCGACGAUCAGUAGCUGGUCUGAGAGGAUGAUCAUGCCACAUUGGGACUGAGACACGGCCCAAACUCCUACGGGAGGCAGCAGUGGGGAAUAUUGGACAAUGGGCGCAAGCCUGAUCCAGCCAUGCCGCGUGAGUGAUGAAGGCCCUAGGGUUGUAAAGCUCUUUUGUGCGGGAAGAUAAUGACGGUACCGCAAGAAUAAGCCCCGGCUAACUUCGUGCCAGCAGCCGCGGUAAUACGAAGGGGGCUAGCGUUGCUCGGAAUCACUGGGCGUAAAGGGUGCGUAGGCGGGUCUUUAAGUCAGGGGUGAAAUCCUGGAGCUCAACUCCAGAACUGCCUUUGAUACUGAGGAUCUUGAGUUCGGGAGAGGUGAGUGGAACUGCGAGUGUAGAGGUGAAAUUCGUAGAUAUUCGCAAGA